GAUGAAGAACGCAGCGAAAUGCGAUACGUAAUGUGAAUUGCAGAAUUCAGUGAAUCAUCGAAUCUUUGAACGCACAUUGCGCCCGCCAGUAUUCUGGCGGGCAUGCCUGUCCGAGCGUCAUUUCAACCCUCGAACCCCUCCGGGGGGUCGGCGUUGGGGAUCGGGAACCCCUAAGACGGGAUCCCGGCCCCGAAAUACAGUGGCGGUCUCGCCGCAGCCUCUCCUGCGCAGUAGUUUGCACAACUCGCACCGGGAGCGCGGCGCGUCCACGUCCGUAAAACACCCAACUUCUGAAAUGUUGACCUCGGAUCAGGUAGGAAUACCCGCUGAACUUAAGCAUAUCAAUAAGCGGAGGA
This 356-nucleotide unclassified non-coding RNA is filed under the name soil metagenome. Its description in RNAcentral is "partial contains 5.8S ribosomal RNA, internal transcribed spacer 2, and large subunit ribosomal RNA". The stretch from base 1 to 120 matches the Rfam family "5.8S ribosomal RNA", at positions 35 to 154 of the family's 154-position model. The record is from RNAcentral.